RNAcentral lists this ribosomal RNA (424 nucleotides) under uncultured prokaryote. RNAcentral's name for it is "bacterial SSU rRNA". It matches the Rfam family "Bacterial small subunit ribosomal RNA", at positions 355 to 796 of the family's 1533-position model. The record is from RNAcentral.
UGGGGAAUAUUGGACAAUGGGGGCAACCCUGAUCCAGCCAUGCCGCGUGAGUGAUGAAGGCCCUAGGGUUGUAAAGCUCUUUCAGCGAGGAGGAUAAUGACGUUACUCGCAGAAGAAGCCCCGGCUAACUUCGUGCCAGCAGCCGCGGUAAUACGAAGGGGGCUAGCGUUGUUCGGAAUCACUGGGCGUAAAGCGCACGUAGGCGGAUUGAUAAGUUAGGGGUGAAAUCCCAGGGCUCAACCCUGGAACUGCCUUUGAUACUGUCAGUCUUGAGUCCGAGAGAGGUGAGUGGAACUCCGAGUGUAGAGGUGAAAUUCGUAGAUAUUCGGAAGAACACCAGUGGCGAAGGCGGCUCACUGGCUCGGUACUGACGCUGAGGUGCGAAAGCGUGGGGAGCAAACAGGAUUAGAUACCCCCGUAGUCC